AACGCGAAGAACCUUACCAACGUUUGACAUGUCUAGUAUGGUUACCAGAGAUGGUUUCCUUCAGUUCGGCUGGCUAGAACACAGGUGCUGCAUGGCUGUCGUCAGCUCGUGUCGUGAGAUGUUGGGUUAAGUCCCGCAACGAGCGCAACCCUCGACCUUAGUUACCAUCAUUUAGUUGGGGACUCUAAGGUAACCGCCGGUGAUAAGCCGGAGGAAGGUGGGGAUGACGUCAAGUCCUCAUGGCCCUUACGCGUUGGGCUACACACGUGCUACAAUGGCAACUACAGUGGGCUGCGAACUCGCGAGGGUGAGCUAAUCUCCAAAAGUUGUCUCAGUUCGGAUUGCACUCUGCAACUCGAGUGCAUGAAGGCGGAAUCGCUAGUAAUCGCGAUCAGCAUG
RNAcentral lists this ribosomal RNA (399 nucleotides) under uncultured Sphingomonas sp. RNAcentral's name for it is "bacterial SSU rRNA". It matches the Rfam family "Bacterial small subunit ribosomal RNA", at positions 958 to 1356 of the family's 1533-position model. Lineage: Bacteria; Pseudomonadati; Pseudomonadota; Alphaproteobacteria; Sphingomonadales; Sphingomonadaceae. The record is from RNAcentral.